CAUUGUAUUUUUUUUACUUGAUUCUUGUAGCUUUUUCUUUCUCUCUUUCUCUUUUGUGUCUUGUACUUUGUAUAAUAAGGUUUGACUCUUUUUUAAUUUUCUUUUGUGUGUCUUAUAGAUAUUUUCUCUGUGGUUACCAUGGAAAUUAUAUAAAACAUCUUAAAGUUACAAGAUAUUUUACACUGAGAUGGGAUUUCACCAUACCACUCAGGCUUGUCUCGAACUCCUGGGCUCAAGCGAUCUGCCUGCCUCAGCCUCCCAAAGUGCUGGGAUUACAGGUGUGAACCACCGUGCCCAGCCUGGCCUCAAUGUUUCUCUGGACAAAUUCACUGCAUUGUGCUCACCUGGGGUGCUGCAAACUCUGAAGUGGUUUUUAGAGUUCAGAUGCAUUUUCUCACUAGCGGUGUCUUCUCAUUUUACCCAAGACCUUCUGCCAGAGCAGGGCAUACAAGAUGCAUUCCCAAAAACAAUACUGAGAGGAUAUGGAAAUUGUGGCCUUGAUAAUUUAUAUUUAAGGAAAGACUGGGAAAGUUUAGAUGAGUGUAAGUUGCAAAAAGAUUAUAAUGGACUUAACCAAUGUUC
This 582-nucleotide small RNA is filed under the name Pongo abelii (Sumatran orangutan). Its description in RNAcentral is "retained intron". Lineage: Eukaryota; Metazoa; Chordata; Mammalia; Primates; Hominidae. The record is from RNAcentral.